GUGAUGUUUUGAGUCUUCCUCAAGUAUGAUUUUAUGGGACUUUUUUCUGUUUAUAUUUGGGGUAUAAUGCUAAAAAUUAAAAAUCUUCUGUUGCAAUUACUUUAAGAUUAGGGUCAAAUUAUAUGCUAGAUUGACUGGACUACCCCUUCUUUUUUGCUUUUGAGCAAUACACUAUGCUGUUGCAAAUUGACACCCCAGACUGUCCUCCCCCCAUUUUUUGGGGCAAAAUUGUCCCCCUCUCACAAUUUCUUCUUU
This 255-nucleotide long non-coding RNA is filed under the name Mytilus galloprovincialis (Mediterranean mussel). The record is from RNAcentral. Lineage: Eukaryota; Metazoa; Mollusca; Bivalvia; Mytilida; Mytilidae.